AGUAGGAAAGGGGUCAGUGACACUGGCAGUUUCAUUUCUGGUGGGCACCCUCUGCUACUUCAGAAGGCUACAUUUAUAUUUAGGGCACCGGCUGAAAAGGUGGAUUGGAUAUCUGCAGAGGAGAUUCAAAAGGAACCUCAGUGUGGAGGCAGAAGUUGAUUUACUCAGUUAUUGUGCAAGAGAAUGGAAAGGAGAGACACCCCAUGCCAAGCUGAUGAGGAAGG
Molecule: long non-coding RNA, 224 nt
Organism: Globicephala melas (long-finned pilot whale)
Lineage: Eukaryota; Metazoa; Chordata; Mammalia; Artiodactyla; Delphinidae
Source: RefSeq, a predicted model, not a curated record